GAUGAACGCUGACAGAAUGCUUAACACAUGCAAGUCGACUCGAGUCUUCGGACUUGGGUGGCGCACGGGUGAGUAACGCGUAAAGAACUUGCCUCUUAGACCGGGACAACAUCUGGAAACGGAUGCUAAUACCGGAUAUUAUGGUUUUUUCGCAUGGAGGAAUCAUGAAAGCUAGAUGCGCUAAGAGAGAGCUUUGCGUCCCAUUAGCUAGUUGGUGAGGUAACGGCCCACCAAGGCAAUGAUGGGUAGCCGGCCUGAGAGGGUGAACGGCCACAAGGGGACUGAGACACGGCCCUUACUCCUACGGGAGGCAGCAGUGGGGAAUAUUGGACAAUGGACCACAAGUCUGAUCCAGCAAUUCUGUGUGCACGAUGACGUUUUUCGGAAUGUAAAGUGCUUUCAGUCGGGAAGAAGUCAGUGACGGUACCGACUGAAGAAGCGACGGCUAAAUACGUGCCAGCAGCCGCGGUAAUACGUAUGUCGCAAGCGUUAUCCGGAUUUAUUGGGCGUAAAGCGCGUCUAGGCGGCAAGGAAAGUCUGAUGUGAAAAUGCGGAGCUCAACUCCGUAUGGCGUUGGAAACUGCCUUACUAGAGUACUGGAGAGGUAGGCGGAACUACAAGUGUAGAGGUGAUUUCUUUGAUAUUUGUAGGAAUGCCGAUGGGGAAGUCAGCCUACUGGACAGAUACUGACGCUGAUGCGCUAUAGCGUGUGUAGCAUACAGGUUAGAUACCCUGGUAGUCCAAGGGUGAAUUCCACAUUUGAUAUGAGCUUAUCGAUCCCGUCACCUCGAUGGGGGGAUCAGAGCACUCAGCUUUUGUUCCCUGUGUUGAUGUGUUGAUUAAAUGCUGACUCAUAUGCUGGUGUCUGACCUGUGCCUCCGUGGAGAUCCCCUGUGUAGCUCUUGUGUGCUUUUAGAUGUGUUCUCCUAGCAUUCUGUUUUUCACCUGUGCUCCCACUAUUUGUCUUGUGUUGUACUCUGUUUACUGCAUCCCUAUAUAUUCUCUCUGCUGUGUGUCC
RNAcentral lists this ribosomal RNA (1018 nucleotides) under uncultured Fusobacterium sp. Its description in RNAcentral is "bacterial SSU rRNA". The stretch from base 1 to 810 matches the Rfam family "Bacterial small subunit ribosomal RNA". Lineage: Bacteria; Fusobacteriati; Fusobacteriota; Fusobacteriia; Fusobacteriales; Fusobacteriaceae. The record is from RNAcentral.